This 745-nucleotide transfer RNA is filed under the name uncultured cyanobacterium. RNAcentral's name for it is "partial 16S-23S ribosomal RNA intergenic spacer". The stretch from base 265 to 337 matches the Rfam family "tRNA". Lineage: Bacteria; Bacillati; Cyanobacteriota. The record is from RNAcentral.
CAGGGAGACAAAAACUGAUCGUGAUGUCUGAGUAAAUUUAAAUUCUUAGGCCAUGAUCCUGUCACCUUAGGUCGAUCGGUACCUCAGAUUUAAUUGGUAAUUAUGGCUAAAUGGUUUUAGUCAUUCCCUUUGAAUUUCAGUUCCUAAACUUGUCUAGGUCACACCCAACAAGGGUACUCCUGGGCCAUUAGCUCAGGUGGUUAGAGCGCACCCCUGAUAAGGGUGAGGUCCCUGGUUCAAGUCCAGGAUGGCCCAUUCGGUGUUGGGGGUAUAGCUCAGUUGGUAGAGCGCCUGCUUUGCAAGCAGGAUGUCAGCGGUUCGAGUCCGCUUACCUCCACUGAUCAACCUUACUAAUAGCCGAUCCAAGGAGAUUUUCUUGUUUGAUUUGAUUUAGACUUCGUUUUAUCUGAAUAAAUGAACCUGGCUUCCUUUCAUUCCUUUACUAGAAAAGUAUUAAGGUUGAAAAGAUGCUGGGCUCACAUGAAUCAUUUAACUGAUUGAUGUGUGUUCAGAAGAACCUUGACAACUGCAUAGGUGAGUCUGGAAAAAAUAAAGCAUCUCAUAGAUGCAUUUUCCAUAUAGAAAAACAACUUGUUCUACCAAGAUUUGUUUUUCUUGAUUGGAGAUGUUAAUUCUUGAGCAAUGAGUUGAUCCCUUUUUAUUUCUUGAAUCUAGCUUUUAUUUAAUUUCAAGUGAGAGCUAAUUGAUUUAAAAAAAGAAAAUAUCUAAAUAAAAGGGAUUAUAU